GGUAAGGUGGCCGAGCGGUUAUGGCGUCAGGUUCAAGGGAAACCUUCCACCCUUCUCCAGAGAGUGGCAAAUUCUGAUGGGGAAACCUUCCAGGGUUCGAAUCCCUGUCUUACCA
Molecule: non-coding RNA, 115 nt
Organism: Stachybotrys chartarum IBT 40288
Lineage: Eukaryota; Fungi; Ascomycota; Sordariomycetes; Hypocreales; Stachybotryaceae
Source: Rfam